Molecule: non-coding RNA, 6947 nt
Organism: Chlorocebus sabaeus (green monkey)
Lineage: Eukaryota; Metazoa; Chordata; Mammalia; Primates; Cercopithecidae
Source: RefSeq, a predicted model, not a curated record
GCGGGGCAGCGGGCGCGGGGCGGCGCCGGCCCCGGGCGGCUCUCCCACUAGGGGUAGCUGUUGCCUGAACGCCGGAGCGCUCCCCUCUCGCCGCUUGCCUCGCCCAGCGCAGCCCCGGCCGCUGGGCGCACCCGUCCCGUUCGUCCCCGGACGUUGCUCUCUACCCCGGGAACGUCGAGACUGGAGCGCCCGAACUGAGCCACCUUCGCGGACCCCGAGCGCGGCGGCGCGACUCACCGCGGAGGCGCCCGGACGCGUCAAGGCAAAGCCUGAACCAGGCCAGGAGGGUCUGUCCCCCGUCUGGGGAGCUGAACUGCCCGGGACACUGUAGCAGUCGCGGCGACUUGUCUGGAGCGGCGGGGCUUGAGCCCAAGUCCGAAGCCGCCGCCGCCAGCGUCCCGUGCGUCUGCAGCCCCGGGACCUGCCGUGGAACUUCUUCUCGGGACGGAGACCGCCCUAGCCGCCCGGGCCGAGGUAGGCGCUGGCUGGGCUCGAUAGGGCGCGGGCGAAUCGCUUUCGGCAGCGAAGGAACGUGUCGGGAGAAGCCAACCGCAGGACCAGGGCCCUAGCGGGCGCGCGGAGACGCCUGCCUUGGGCGGAGGUCCCCCCCUCCGGUUUUCGUGACUCUGGCAGGGCCCUCUGUCCCGUGAGCUCCCCCCUGGACCUGUGGCUCCAGCAGGUCAAGCACCCGAGUGUGCCUGGAGGAUUGGCGGCGGGGUGGCCUGAGAAAGUAGCCCCUCUUCUCCAUCUCCCAGUCCGGGGAUUUCUCUGCUGUCUGGGGCAGGGGCGCACACCCCAGGAACUUACCACCUAGAGGGAAGCCAGCCCGGUCUCUCCCCCUUGCCUCAGUGCUCCCGAGCUGCCCCUCACCACUCUGGGUAGGGGUCUUUCAGGUGGGCUAGGGAAUUCUCCUUGGAAGGCCCCCUGUCUGCUGCCCUCCAUCAGGGCACCUGUGAGUUAGCCGGUCAUCCCCUUUUCUGGCCUCUUUUUUGCGGGGAGGAGAGUAGAGAGAGAAGCCUCCUACUCGGCAGGUCUCUGAGAGGAGGUUUGGGGGGACUUCUGAGGUUGCCCCUCCUGGGCAGAGUCAAGGGGUGUUGAGGGUUCCAACUUUUACUGGACAAUCUCUCAAGCUCGGACUCCCUGAGUUCUGGGAGGUUUCAGUGUAGGGCUUGUGUCCUGCCCCCACCCACACAGCAUUUGGUGCAGGCACAUAGGUUGGUUCCCCAAACCCUUUUUCCACAGUUAGUUUCAGAAAAUGCAUAAGCCACCUAAGGCUGGGAGAGCCUUUCUGUGCUGCCUGAGAUCUGGUGGCAUGUGCAUGCAUGUGUGUGCAAGUGUGUGUGUGUGCAAGUGUGUGUGUGUGCAAGUGUGCGUGCGCAUGUGCAUGUGUGUGGAAAGUAUGGUCUGGGUGGUUGUAAGACUGGCCCCUCUAGUCCCCUUUGCAGGCCCAGCCCAAUAAGAAGCACCUGAUCCACACUCUUUCUAGCCCCAGGGAUGGUUAGGGAAGCAGCCCUUCUUGAGGGCUGUCAUCUGUUCUGGGGAUCUAUGGCUGCCUCUUGGGCCCACAGACUAUACUCCAUACCUCCGGACUCCAUAAUAUUGGACAGGCUGGAAGGCCCAUUUGACUCCUGCAGCCUCUUGUGCAGGUGAGGACAGACCCAAGGUGCGGGUGAUACUGGCCUUUGGGACACAGAACCUGGCUCAGUAACUCCCACUCCAGUCGCCUUUUCCCUCUUCUCAACCCUCUCUCCUCCGGAGCAACACUUGUCCCUCCUUCCUUCCUCUCUCUAGGGCUGCACCCCCAGCUCACCUUAGACCUGGCCCUUCCUACCUGUUGCCGCUACUGUCUUGUCCCAUCCCAGUGGUCAGGAGGGAGAGUACUGGCCAAAGGCCCAGCUCCACCUGUGACUCAGGGAAGCACCAGGCAUCACCCAGAGGUCUCGGCCCCCAGAGGCCUGGCAGGCUCUGCUGUGGGGGAAGCAGAGUUCGAACUGGGGCUGUUUCUCCUGCCCUGCGACCUGACUGGGCCUCCCCCGCCUCCCUUUCUGUCUGCCCUCUUACAAUUCCAGCAGGGGGCGGGCAGGGGAAAGAAAAGGAGGGACAAGUUGGACGGGGUCCAUUUGGUGUCCAGGAACAACUUGGAGAGAGGCAGGGAGGGGACAGGCAGCAGGGCCCUGGCAGAGCGAGGGGAGGGCUGGCCUUUGGAUGGCCUUCUGAUCCCAAACGCAUCCUCCUGGGGCAGUCUGCCCUUGAAAGGUAGGGCUUGGUGAACCCUGGUGCAGAGCCCCCCCCCCGCCCUCGCCACCUCACUGCCCCAGUGCGGGGCAUGGUAGGCGGGUUUGCAAUGGGUACAGUCUCUCUCUCCAUUCCAGUAGAGCAGCUCCCAGGGCCCAGAGAGGCUGUCACUGAGACUUCCCUCUGGGGGGUGGGUCCUGGUGGCCCUGCGUUCCCCUGCAGGAGGACCUCCUGAGGCUUCGGGCAGGAGCUGGUGCACACCUGGAGGAGAGUGCUGGUGAACGACAGGUGUGUGCCUCAGUGUUCUUGCUGCCUGGGUGUCAACCCUGCUUCACCAUUGGCCCUUUGUUUCCGUCCCCUCCACUGGCCUCUUAAAGCACAGAGACUCUCCGGGUACUUUCCUUCCUCUGGGCCUCCGCUCAUGCUAUUCCCUGCUCCCUUCUUCUACCUGGAGACCCCCAUUCCUCCUCCUUCUCCACUGCCCUCACCUCCACCUGGGCCCUCUUAGCUCCCGGGAGAUGGCUGAGCCCCACUCCCCGCCCGCUAGUCAUCCUCUUCAGCAGUCCUCCUGGAGCUGUCCUCGGCAUGGCAGCCUCCACAGCCCCUGGGUUUCACCCCUGGUUUCAAGUCUGCCUUAGACUCCAGACCUGCCCCUCCCAGGCUGGCCCAGAUGGAUCCUCUGCAGUGACUAACCCGAACCGGCACCGGCAGUGAGCCGGGGCAGCAUGUCGGCAGCCGGGGCUGAGCACCAUUGGUCAGGACCUGCCGCUGUGAGCAGACAACACUUCCUGGGAAGUCCCCUUGGGGCGUGGUGUCUGGUGAAUGCACCUGUCACCUGGUCACUGGGCCAAUCUGUUUCCCUUUCUGGGCUAAACAGGUCUUCCCAUGGGUACCUGGGCCCUCCCAGGGAGGUGUUUACACUUCUCAUUUACUUCAGAAAUGAAUUCUUCUAUCCACACGCUUGUCUAGGUUGAGCAUGGGGACACCCUGCAGGGGAUGGGGUGGGAGAUGGCCGAGGGACCCAGAGCUCUGGUCUGAGAGGUGUCCUCAACAUGACAGAUCUUCCUCCCUCUGAAAGUUUGAGGCAGGCAUGGGGGAGGUGGCAGGACUCUGGGGUGACUGGGCAGGCUGGGAUCCCAGCCAGGAUGGCUUGUCAGGGCCCCAGGGCCUGGAUCUAGCAGGGGUGUUUGGCAGCAUUUGGGGAUUGGAGAAGGUCUGGGGCUCCUGGCCAAGGAAAGGAGAAGGCCUAGGAGGCAGUGCCCUGGCUACUUGCUGUGUGACCCUGGGCAUCUCUGGCCCCUUCUCAGGUCUCAUCUGCAUCAGGUGUGGGUUGGGUGACGACUUUGCAGUGCCUUUCCCAUGCGGUCAUUCUGCAGGCCAGAAGGUUCUAGGAAGUUCUAGGAGACCCUGUUCUGGCCCUGCCUGCUGUUCUGCGGCUGCUGAGAGCCCCACUUGAGGAUGAAGGUGCCGCAGGACUGGUCCUACCUGGCCUCAUGCUCUGCCACUUCCACCCAGUACCGCCUUCGCCUGUCCACUUCCUGCUGCAGCUCAGGGCCCUCCAGCCCGGCCUGGGCUCUGACUCGUUCCUGGCAUGAGUGCUGCUGUGCUCCCUGGUGCUCAGCCAGAUCCCAGAGCACAGGACAAUGCCUUGCCAGAGGUUGCCUUUGGGUGCCUGUGUCCCGCCUGGAGCUGGGUGGGGCACUGGGAAGCUGGGCUACUUGUGCCAAGACAGACCGUGCUCUGAGCUGGGCCCUGAGGCUGGCUGGAGGGCCACCUUGCGAGUCAGUCCCUCCUUUCCAUCUGUGAUCCUCUCUGGAAAAAGGUGGGGUUCACCUGACCAGCAGAUAGGCAUCCCAAGUCCAUGUGCUUCUCUGAGCCUCAGUUUCUUCACUGGAGAGGCGGGCCUAAUGUUUGAAUGUGUUGUGUUCACCAUGACAUGAGGGGCAAGUGUAAAGUCUAUAUGUGUGCAUGUGUGAGUUCAUGUGUGUGUGUGUAUGUGUGUGUCUAUUUACUUAAACCCAGCCUUGUUCCAGAGUGGAUUUCAGGAUUCCUCUAAGAAGCUUUGGAAUGCCAGAAGAUACCACAAGUGAGAAGAAAAAAUAAAACAAGAGGAAGGACAUACUUCCCAUAUGGGGACAAAGUACAGCCACAGUGUCCUCCACUUGGGCCAUGGAACAGCCGCAGGUUUUGCCCUGAUUACCCUGGUGGUAAAGUCUGAUUGGCUUUGACUCCCAGUGUCCAAAAGAUAAACAUGGGUUGUGCAGUGGAGCCGCACACAUGCCUGUGCAUGGCCAUGCCAGGUCAGAAACCCAGCCCCUCUGCUUGGGAGGCACGCAGGGCUCUGGCUGAAGCCUGAAGCUUGCGAUCGUCAGAGCACAGACGUCCCAGGGCCGUGUGAAGUUAGUGAGAUGAGGUGUACAGAGAGAGCUCGGGGAGGAGAGGGAGUCUCGAUUGCUGUCACCCGUGGCUCGGAGAUGCCUGUGACAGGUGACAGUGAUGUGCAUGGUGGUGUGUUCACUGAUGAUGCUACACUGUAGGCCCAGGGCUGUGUUGUGGUGACAGGUGUCCUCCUGAACCGUUUGACCUUUAGGGAGGCCCCCUUCACUCAAGCACUGGUCAUGGAGGGGCUCUGGUCACACAAGGACUCAGGCACGUUUUUGCCCCCGAGGAGCCCCCCAGCCUGGCAGGGCCCAGGGGCAGGGUGGGUGGGAUGGGUGUGCUCCAGCAGGUAGCAGGGACACCUGGCAAAUGGGGUCGAAUUGGGAGGCGUCUCAGGAGGUGGCCAUGGGCAGAGGGACAGGCUUCUGGUUCUUUGCCACUGUCCUCUUUGAAGUCUGGCACCUGGGAACAGACUGCCUGGGACGUCUGUGCUCUGACAAUCGCAAGCUUCAGGCUUCAGCCAGAGCCAAUCCUGCUUGGGCAGGAAACUGUGGGCUCUCUUCUCGCAGGGGGACAAGAGUCAUUUGAGGUACCUUCUGAGCAGGUGGGGGACAGCAAAGGACAAGAGGAGGCUGUGCCUGUGCAGCUGUGUGUCCCGGCACAGGCGCCACUUCACUCCCACGCCACCACAUCCUCACUGGGUGACUUUGGGCAAGUGACCUGAACUCUGUGCCUCCAUCUCAUCUUCUGUAAAAUGGAUGGCACAUCUGAGCCUACCUCCCAGGCACGGUGUUAUGAGGACAGGUGGGGGCACGUUCACACAGUCCCCAGAAUGGUGCCCACGGCACCAGAGUGCUCCGUAGGGAAAUAGUGGCAGCUGGCACUGAGUCCCCAACAUAAGCCGGCACUGUGGGCCAGUGCUACGACUCCUGCUUUUGGGCACUUCACAAGCUAUGGCCAGGGGCCCACCACCUUUGGCCACUCCUUCCCCACAAAAUUCCUGCCAGGGCCCUGCCAGAUCAAUAAGUCACAGGACUUCUCCAUCACAGAAGCCCAACUCUGUGACACCUCUUGGUCCCAAGCAUGUUCCUAUCCCCCAUUCAUGUAUUUUGUUAGGACCCUUUAGGGUUGCACGUGGCAGAAACUUAAUCCACACUAACUUCAGCAACUUUAGCAAAGAAGGAAUGUACUGGCUCCAGUCAGUGAAAAGUCCAGGAGGAGCCAUGCCUUCAGGCACGGCUGCAUCCAGGCACUCAACAGGUGCAUCCAGGCACUCACCAGGUGCAGCCAACACCUUGGCCCGCAGGCUGUCAGCUCCUGCCUUCUGCUGCAUCCGCGCCACUGUAGGUGGAUUUCUCCGCACAUGGGUGAGAUGGCCCCAGGAGCUGUGGCUCAUGGAGUCCUUGUAGCACCUGUCCUGGCCAUCCCCAGAAGAGAAAGCAUCAUUUCCCAUGGCAGAAAUCUGGUGGAAACAGGAGAGAGGGAGUUGGCUCUCUUUGGUCGGAUGUGGGUCUUGUGCCCAUCUCUGGGAGAGAAAGGUCCUCACUCACAGAAACUGAGCAGAUCCUGGAUUGGAUGGGGAGAGAUGCUUUCAGAGACACACACAUUCACUGCACUCACUGCAAGGAUAGUGACAAUAGUAGAAGCUGCUCUUUCUUGAGAAGUUAUGACGUGUGCCAGAAAAUUCUACCUUUUAAGGAUAUAGAGAGGUUUUUAUCAUCCCCAUUUUACAGAUGACAAAACUGAGGCUCCGAGAGGUGAAGUGAUUUGCCUAUGGAUGCAUAGCUAAGGUGUCCGAUGGAUCUGAUGGAAAGGUGGCAGGCGAAAUGCACCUGGCCUGAGCAUCAAGGGCCGUGAAUGCAGUGGCAGUCGUAGCUAUGUGGUCGGAGUGGACUAGGAUGGUCCUUCCACCAAGAAGGCUGGGCCUUCCUGCUCCUCAUUGUCCAGCUGCAGAAAGUGAUUGGGCUUGACACAACUGCCCCUUCCUCCACACAUUCCCAAAUAUACCUACCCCUCCCCAACCCAAUCCUCCUCGCCAGACUGUGGCUCCCGGAUGACAGGGCAGAGUUGGACUCACCUGUGUCUGCCAGGCCAGCUCACCAUGGGGGCAGGUCCCAAGAGGCCUCUGGAUUUGGACCAACUUCAGUGUGAGCUUGAACAAGCCCUUAGCCUCCCUCAGCCUCCGUUGCAUGAGGCGUUGUGCUGGUACGUCUCAGAGCAGGUGGCGCUACCUGGUGAGCCUGUCCAUCAGACAGAGCCUGGAUGGCUCUGUCCAUCAUCUUUGUCACUGUAAUGCUGGUUAACAAAUAAACACGAAACAAUGAGUGGUCAUU